GGGGCUGGAGCUUAGUGGUUGAGCAUCUGCUUAGUAUGCGGAAGGUCCCAGUUUCAAUCCCCAGCAUCUCCA
This 72-nucleotide transfer RNA is filed under the name Sphaerodactylus townsendi. Its description in RNAcentral is "tRNA-Thr". It matches the Rfam family "tRNA". From Rfam's summary of the family: Transfer RNA (tRNA) molecules are approximately 80 nucleotides in length. Their secondary structure includes four short double-helical elements and three loops (D, anti-codon, and T loops). Further hydrogen bonds mediate the characteristic L-shaped molecular structure. tRNAs have two regions of fundamental functional importance: the anti-codon, which is responsible for specific mRNA codon recognition, and the 3' end, to which the tRNAs corresponding amino acid is attached (by aminoacyl-tRNA synthetases). tRNAs cope with the degeneracy of the genetic code in two manners: having more than one tRNA (with a specific anti-codon) for a particular amino acid; and 'wobble' base-pairing, i.e. permitting non-standard base-pairing at the 3rd anti-codon position. Lineage: Eukaryota; Metazoa; Chordata; Lepidosauria; Squamata; Sphaerodactylidae. The record is from RNAcentral.